RNAcentral lists this transfer RNA (71 nucleotides) under Cordylochernes scorpioides. Its description in RNAcentral is "tRNA-Gly". The record is from RNAcentral. Lineage: Eukaryota; Metazoa; Arthropoda; Arachnida; Pseudoscorpiones; Chernetidae.
UGCAUCGGCCGGGAAUCGAACCCGGGCCGCUCGCAUGGCAGUCGAACAUUCUACCACUGAACCACCGAUGC